GACGAACGCUGGCGGCGUGCUUAACACAUGCAAGUCGAACGGAAAGGCCCUGCUUUUGUGGGGUGCUCGAGUGGCGAACGGGUGAGUAACACGUGAGUAACCUGCCCUUGACUUUGGGAUAACUUCAGGAAACUGGGGCUAAUACCGGAUAGGAGCUCCUGCUGCAUGGUGGGGGUUGGAAAGUUUCGGCGGUUGGGGAUGGACUCGCGGCUUAUCAGCUUGUUGGUGGGGUAGUGGCUUACCAAGGCUUUGACGGGUAGCCGGCCUGAGAGGGUGACCGGCCACAUUGGGUCUGAGUUACGGCCCGGACUCCUACGGGAGGCAGCAGUGGGGAAUAUUGCUCAAUGGGCGGAAGCCUGAUGCAGCAACGCCGCGUGCGGGAUGACGGCCUUCGGGUUGUAAACCGCUUUCGCCUGUGACGAAGCGUGAGUGACGGUAAUGGGUAAAGAAGCACCGGCUAACUACGU
RNAcentral lists this ribosomal RNA (467 nucleotides) under uncultured bacterium. Its description in RNAcentral is "partial 16S ribosomal RNA". It matches the Rfam family "Bacterial small subunit ribosomal RNA", at positions 28 to 506 of the family's 1533-position model. The record is from RNAcentral.